Carassius carassius (crucian carp) is the source of this 702-nucleotide long non-coding RNA. RefSeq lists it as uncharacterized. NCBI's taxonomy places the organism in Eukaryota, Metazoa, Chordata, Actinopteri, Cypriniformes, Cyprinidae. The record is from RefSeq and is a predicted model, not a curated record. The transcript has 3 exons.
UAGAGGAGGGUGAAAGAGGUUUUGGUGUACUCUGUGACCGCCUCCAGUGCUUCAUGCCGGUCGGAUGACUGAGCGCUGCUGACGCGAUCGGUGCGGGAGGAGGACAGAGCAGAUGCCAUGUGAAAAAGAGAGUGGGAGGAUAAGUACAAAGUGCACAUGGCCAAGACACCACAAGCACAUGGGAUCCUGAACGUAAUGAAAAGCAAUGAUAAGGCCAGGCCUCAUCAACAAACACAGUUACUGGGGGACAGGGGGGAAGACAGAAAAUCAUACAGGUUGGGAACAACAUGGUGGAUGAAUGUUUGAAAGAAAACUCCGGUUUGGUUUCUCUGCCACCAAGUCUCAAGGCUAUCCCACAGAACUCAGGACUGGAUCCGAGCCAGGCCAUUUUUAAUGACUGAAAUUUGGGAUGAAAUCCAAACAAAGAAAUACAGCCCUGGUGCGGGCCUCCUAAAGUUAUGCAAGUCUAUGAGAGUUACAGCCCAAUAAAAAAAAUUUAAUAAAAUAAUAGUAGAAACUUAUGUAAAGCUCUCAUUAUUGUUGCCAUGCCCAGUGAAGAAGGGAUGUGGAGCUCUUCAACUAGAGCUGAAUUACUGCGUGACGUUUCAUUCAAGGAGGGACAUUUGUGUCCACACAGUUUAAAGCAAGGCACUAAACAGUAAAAUAUGCAAUUAAAUAUUUUACCAGAUCAAAAUCACAAUG